Molecule: ribosomal RNA, 249 nt
Filed under: Salmonella enterica
Lineage: Bacteria; Pseudomonadati; Pseudomonadota; Gammaproteobacteria; Enterobacterales; Enterobacteriaceae
Also listed under: 1 other name
Description: partial 16S ribosomal RNA
Rfam family: Bacterial small subunit ribosomal RNA
Source: RNAcentral
AAAUUGAAGAGUUUGAUCAUGGCUCAGAUUGAACGCUGGCGGCAGGCCUAACACAUGCAAGUCGAACGGUAACGGGAAGCAGCUUGCUGCUUCGCUGACGAGUGGCGGACGGGUGAGUAAUGUCUGGGAAACUGCCUGAUGGAGGGGGAUAACUACUGGAAACGGUGGCUAAUACCGCAUAACGUCGCAAGACCAAAGAGGGGGACCUUCGGGCCUCUUGCCAUCAGAUGUGCCCAGAUGGGAUUAGCU